RNAcentral lists this long non-coding RNA (776 nucleotides) under Elaeis guineensis (African oil palm). Its description in RNAcentral is "long non-coding RNA (EGUI_LNC053626)". The record is from RNAcentral. Lineage: Eukaryota; Viridiplantae; Streptophyta; Magnoliopsida; Arecales; Arecaceae.
GGACUUUGGUUGACCAAGGUCAACCAUCUGGGGGGAUAGUUUUAAAGUUUUGCAGGUUUGCAGAUUGUGGUGUUUAUAGGUUUACAGAUGUGUGUUGUUUACUGAUUUACAGGUUUUCAGAUUCAGGUUACAGGUUUUCAGAUUCAGGUUAUAGGUUUUCAGCAACCAGGAUUACAGGGAAAAUAAGAAAUAAAGGCAGAGAUUUUUCCUCCUGUUUUCUUCUUGAACCAACCCCAGCCAUAGUUUCACCUCUGAUCUGUUUGAAUAUGUUCUUGGGAGCUGAACCAUGUUCUGACCUGUUCCUUAGAAACCAUGUAUCAAAUCUAAAUUAGGUUCGCAUCUAUCCGUAGGUAGGAAACAAUAAAUGGGACUAUUUUUCAGAUUUGAGUUAUACUCAUCUUUGUAAUUUGUACCAUGCUUUGACUCGAAGCAGGAAACAAGGAAUUCGCAUUAGGAACUAUGCUUGAAGUAGGAAACUUUCUAACUAAGAAGUUUUGUCUUCUUGCCUCAUGCUUUUUGACGCUGAAGUUUUAUCAUGCUAAUCAACAUGGAUUAGAAAAUUGGGCCUCUACUUAGGCAUGAGAUGAUGUAUAGCAUGUAUAUGUGGACCUAUAAUGCGGCUAUAAGUNNNNNNNNNNNNNNNNNNNNUUUUCUUGCCUCAUGCUUUUUUGACGCUGAAGUUUUAUCAUGCUAAUCAACAUGGAUUAGAAAAUUGGGCCUCUACUUAGGCAUGAGAUGAUGUAUAGCAUGUAUAUGUGGACCUAUAAUGCGGCUAU